This is a long non-coding RNA of Medicago truncatula (barrel medic), 428 nucleotides long. RefSeq lists it as uncharacterized. The transcript has 2 exons. The record is from RefSeq and is a predicted model, not a curated record. Lineage: Eukaryota; Viridiplantae; Streptophyta; Magnoliopsida; Fabales; Fabaceae.
UGCUUCAAUCCAAAUGUGACUGUAUCUCAAAACCCUUCUCAAUCAUGUCCCUUACAACUUUGAUGUUUAGGUCAAUGCUUAGGCUUCUAACAUUGUUAAUUUGUGAGCCUGCCACUUCAAUUCCAACAUUGCUAUACUAUAGUGGUCUUCUUCCUCACAAUAUGGUUCUACUAAGAAUGGUUCGUCACGAAUUACUUGAACAAGAAAAUUAUCUCUUCCGUUUACUCAUUAGCUUAAUGAGUUGUUUUUUGUGAACUAAUUGUACCAAUAUUUUUAAUCAUUUUUAAUCUUCAUUUAGUGGGUUUAUAGUAAAUUAAGUUGAGAUUAAGCUCAAUGACAAGCAAUUUUAAACUUAGGAAGAGCAAUGUAGUUGCUUCUGAGGCAAAGCAUGAAAGAAAUAAUUAAAGAAUAAUCAAUUUAUUAUCGAA